Non-coding RNA from Mycena vitilis, 91 nucleotides. The record is from the annotation of a GenBank genome assembly. NCBI's taxonomy places the organism in Eukaryota, Fungi, Basidiomycota, Agaricomycetes, Agaricales, Mycenaceae.
UCCGGUAUGGUGUAUCGGUAACAUAUGUGCUUUUCAUCAGAUUGAUCGGUACGAUUCGCACGUGCGCGGGGUUCGAUUCCCCGUACCGGAA